CCUCAUGGUGGGAUAUGUCUAAUUUUACCACCCCAGCCCCAUUUUUAAUUUCUUCUUUUUAUUCUUUGUAUAUCUGAAAUGUUGACUGUGAAUGGAAAGGUAAAGAAAAUGCUAAUCACUCUUGUAAAGAUAUUUCAUCUCAUCACAAUACUAUUAUUGGUUGGCUGUCUAGAUCUUCUAACUUAUCCAGGAAACCUGGGUCAUGCAGUAGAAAAAAUUCACUAUAUUCUUGCAGAGGGUUUUGUAAAUGGAAUUUCUUGCUAAGCAGCAAUCUCCACACUCAGUCUCAAAGAAACAGUCCACAUGGACUGGAGAGAUGGCUCAGUGGAUAAGAGUACUGGCUGCUGUUACAGAGGUAAAGCUCAAUUCCUGGCAUCUCCAUUUUAACUCACAUUCAUCUUAACUCCAGGUCCAGGGCAGCUAACCCUUCUUCUAACUUCCAUAGGCAUGAAGUACACAUGCAUACAUGUAGCAAAACAGUCAUACAAAAAAUAAAUAAAUUUAAAAAACAACAAUUACACAAUAAACCAUGGUACAGUAUCUACACUUUCUGAUUAAAAUAAAACGAAACAGGAACUUGGAUGUAUACAUUUGAAGAAGAGAAACUCUAUGAUAGUCUAGGGAGUGUUUCUUGUGCUUGUUGUAUUACAAUGGUUUCUUUAGAAUCUUCUCUCUAAUGGCUGAUGGUGGCUAAGUACUCUGUGUCCCCAGAAAUAAUCUAUAGCUCCAAGCUUAAAAUUUAGGUAUUUUGUCUUGUAAACAAUAGUAUUUCAACUAAGCUUUAUUCAUUUGUUAUUUCAGAGGUAUCAGAAAUAAAUUUGAAACUAGUUUGUUGUUUACAGGGAAUAGCUGCUCUGUAUUUUCAUUAAAGUUGGAGGAAGGAAAAAAUGGGCCAUGAAAUUUAAGUAUAAAUUCAAUAAGUAAAGAUUUAUCUUGAAGUUAAUAUGUUGCUUUAAAACACUAUCAUCAACAGCAAGGUAGCUCUUUGAGGAAUGACAUUAACAGAGAAAAGAAUUACGUCCUACCAUUGGAGCUUUGUUGUUUUCCUCAAACCCCAUUCCAUGAUGGCUCCUCCAUUGAAACAGGACACCCUUGCUUCCUGAGACACCUGGUAAUUGCAGCUGAGUCUGAAACAUCGCUGGCUGUUCCCACUGAAGGUUCAUGAAAACACAGGUGAGGCUCCACUUAUCAGAGCUUGAAAAGUUCCAUUUAGAUUUAAUGCAAGCAAUGAAAAGAAGAAGGAAAAGACAAAAUGUUAAGACUGUUUAAUAAGCAGCUUACAAUUAGUCACAGUCCAACCACAGAGAGGAACAGGAAUUCCCUUCCCCUAUUUCCUGGAAAGAACUGGCUGUCAGAAAUAACCUCAGAAUAAUGUCCCUUCAGAUGGCAUUCUGACAGUGACCGGUAACAAUCAAACAAAAACGUGGUAAUGAAACAGAAAACAAAAAUUCCAUCUAGGUAAUUAUUGCCCACAUGCUCAUAAAACGUAGUAUAAUCUUCAGAGUUUUUAUUAAAAUUUUGAAUGUAAUAGCUGGUGAAGGAAGUAUGAUCUUUGAUUUUGGAUUUUAUUUAAAGAGAAUACAAGUAAAUAUUUUUUUCUUCACUGUAUUUAUUGGUGAUGUUAUGGGUUUUUUAAAGUUCAUUUACCAGGGAUCUAAAGAAAAGUAUAACAAAAAUAGUUUAUGAAAUGUGAAAAACUAAAAACUAAGAAUAAAAAUGGUUAAAAUUCCAGCAUGACGAAGUCAAAUUAAUUAAAUACAUAUAAAGGCAUAUGUGAGAUUUAAUAAUAGGUUGCACAGACAUAUUAGAUUACGCCUUCUUUCUUGCCGGCCAGCAGCAAGAUAGCCAACCAGGGUCCUCGAGGCCCAGGCAGGCAGCAAGAUAGCCAGGGACCCGGCCCGAGCUUUGUGGUGCCGUGCUUAUGUGCCCUCUUUCAAUAAGGACAUAUGUAGCAGAGGACUGGAAGUAGUAGAGGGAACGGACGGUCCGUGUGCUAUGGAAAGAUGCAGAGAGCAAGGAAGGACUAAGGUGAGGAGUUGGCAGACGUUGGAAGCCUGCAUUCCACCUGGAUCCGCGGGAACGGCCGUUAUUAGACCGGAGGCAGUUCUGCUUGCCACCCACGGCCACGAUGAUGAUGUCCAGGCCGGGCUGCUGCCAAGGGCAAUAUCGGGGUCUCUGAUCCUGCACUGUGAAGAAGACAUGUAGCAGUGCUGGUGGAACUUCAAACUCUGGAGACAGAAGAUUCAGAUUCUUUCUACUUCUCUAUUAGUUAUAUGAACCCUGACGUACUGCUCCAGUAAUGGGAAGACCUCCACCUCCAAGAGAUAAUGGACUGAGGAUGCUGAACUGUACUGCCUCCUUUUGGGCACCAGAGGGCGACGAUAAAGACGGAGAAAUCCAAC
Mesocricetus auratus (golden hamster) is the source of this 2402-nucleotide long non-coding RNA. RefSeq lists it as uncharacterized. The transcript has 3 exons. NCBI's taxonomy places the organism in Eukaryota, Metazoa, Chordata, Mammalia, Rodentia, Cricetidae. The record is from RefSeq and is a predicted model, not a curated record.